Molecule: long non-coding RNA, 1405 nt
Organism: Drosophila subpulchrella
Lineage: Eukaryota; Metazoa; Arthropoda; Insecta; Diptera; Drosophilidae
Exons: 4
Source: RefSeq, a predicted model, not a curated record
AUAGAAAGACUAUAGUACACAUUUUACAAAAACAAAAAGGGUCGGGAUCGCGAAGAAGUAACUUCUGUUAGGAACUGUUUAUUUUUCGGUGGCAGUGCCGCUAGCUCAGUCUUAAUCUCAGGGCAGAGUACCCCUAUGCCACAGCUCGCAACAUGAGUAUCGACAACUCCGCUGUCUCACAUCACUAAUCUAUCGGUCAUCACUAAGAACCAAAACGUAAACAAAGCCAAGCGCCCCCACCCAACCAUGGAUGCCCUCAAGAUGCUGCAGGGCACCAUUCUCCGUUGGCAGGAGCCCCCUCCUCGCGACUACGACGGUUCCAUCUCCCCCACUGGGAAAGCUUACUCACAUUGUGUGUAUUACAAAUGAUUAAUAAAUAUGCCUUUAAGACCGAAAACAUGGCCACCGUCUUCAAUAUUUACGCGGUCAAAGUUAUAAGAAAAAGGCUACAGGCGCCGCGGAAAGUUAUGCUCUAACAGUCACUUAUUGGUAGAGCUCGCAUGGAAACGCGGCCCUCAAAAGGAACAUACGCGAUGCGCGCGUGUCGGGUCACCUAAUCCUGAGGAGCUCCAGGGGAAAAGAAGGGACAGGCUAAAACUGCACUGUAAACUAUACCAUCUAACUGAUGCUCGCGACCUUUUUGAUUCUAGGCAAACGACGAGGACAAAUAAGGCUCUCGGGUCUAAAUCAGGAUAAAUUCACAAACAGGGAAUUUAAUAAUCAAGGUACCCAUGUAUUAUAAUAUUUCCUGAAUUUCAGCCACUUUUGGGCCGGGCCUGGAGGGCGAUUAUAGCCCGGCUGAAAACUUCUCGCCGGAGGUCAGCGACAACACUUGUCUCCAAGAAGGAAAACUGGCGCACUACGGUGAGUUGUGCAAGGGCAGUCGGAGGUUCGGCCGCCCGACAAAAUGGCGGUACUUCUCAACGCCGCGAUGCGACGGCUGGAAGUUCCCGAGAUGAGGUGGACGUGGUAGACCGGAACGGACUAACCGGGAAAUGCUUGAUGUCGUCGGCGUCGACGGCGAAAGGCGUUUAUGGCUGGUCGUCUGUGCGGGUCGAACGGACACCGGUUGCUGGCAGCUAAGUCGGGGCUGUACUUCCAGCUACAUCUGCCUAGUUGGACAAUAUGGCUGCGACUAUACUGAUAUCUGCUGAUCAUCAUUCCUCCCCCGCCAUAUUACAUCGCCUCUCCCAAAAUUGGGUCAUUGGACACAUGAGUGCCAUUUAAGGUAAUCUCAGAGCGAACCGGGAUUAAUCCUCAAAUGGCCUGAUCGCCCGCCAGAUUCACCUCGCUGCUGCAACUAUCGCCCUAUCGACUUAACCUAUCGAUAGAGUCCCUCCCAUUAUCGACUCCAAUUGCAACACUUCUGAGACACUUCUGAGCAAUAGAAAGACGAUAGUACACA